RNAcentral lists this ribosomal RNA (466 nucleotides) under uncultured Streptococcus sp. Its description in RNAcentral is "bacterial SSU rRNA". It matches the Rfam family "Bacterial small subunit ribosomal RNA", at positions 22 to 464 of the family's 1533-position model. Lineage: Bacteria; Bacillati; Bacillota; Bacilli; Lactobacillales; Streptococcaceae. The record is from RNAcentral.
GCUCAGGACGAACGCUGGCGGCGUGCCUAAUACAUGCAAGUGGAACGCAAUGAAUUCUACUGUAGCUUGCUACACUUGAAUUGAUUGAGUCGCGAACGGGUGAGUAACGCGUAGGUAACCUACCUAUUAGCGGGGGAUAAUUAUUGGAAACGAUAGUUAAUACCGCAUAAGAGUAGCUAACACAUGUUAACUACUUAAAAGGAGCAAGAGCUCCACUAAGAGAUGGACGUGCGUUGUAUUAGCUAGUUGGUAAGGUAACGGCUUACCAAGGCAACGAUACAUAGCCGACCUGAGAGGGUGAUCGGCCACACUGGGACUGAGACACGGCCCAGACUCCUACGGGAGGCAGCAGUAGGGAAUCUUCGGCAAUGGGGGGAACCCUGACCGAGCAACGCCGCGUGAGUGAAGAAGGUUUUCGGAUCGUAAAGCUCUGUUAUAAGCGAAGAACGGGAGUAAGAGUGGAAAG